UUCCCCGAGAAGAGUAAAAAAACUAUCAAUUGAGUGAUUUGCGGCGCGCUCCGAGGUUAUGGCGACCGCGGAAGAGGGCGGCGAUGGAUUCUAAUUCCUAGCAGAUCCAGUGGACAGGUUCCACUUGGUGGAUCUUGGACGCGGCGCCUUCACUCCCGAUGGUGAGCCAGAGGCUAAUCUGACACAGUCAGCGGCUGAAUCCAGCAUGGGAGAUGUGGCCUGUGGGCGAUGUGCCGCUAACCCUGCAAUUGGCCAUCAGCAACGGCUGUGAAGCAUCAAGCUUCUCUGCGACGGAUUCGCAACAGUCAACUGGAAAGGAUGACCCUCAAGCCCCGGCUGGACUAAAAGGUAAAAUAUCUCGCACGCUUGUACUGCAUCUUCAUUUUGCCGUACCAGUGCUGCAUCUUCAUUUGCUGCUUUGUAUGCACGAGCCAACCGUAAUCUUUUCAUCAUGGAGUCGCCAGUGAACUGUGAGCUGUACUCACUCUAAUGAAGUGACAAGUCGCACACGUUGUGUCUCUGAGGCCUUCUGUUUGGAUACAACAAACACAUGAUCUAGUUCAGUUGAGUUUGGUCAGGUUCUUGAUUUCUUGGGUAUAGAGAAAAUACCAUCAAAGCACAUCCUCUAGAGGUGGACGAAAGAUGCAAGAGAUAUACUUCCAUAGCAGUUGGCACACGCACAGGAAAACCAUAUUUCGGUUAACUCCAUUACAUUCAGACAUUCAAAUCUGUAUACUCAUGCUUUGGAGGUUGUAAAACUUGGUGAUGCAAACCAAAUUGCAUAUGAUUGUGCAAUGGAGCUUCUUAGAUCAGCAAUGUAUAAACUGAUGCCUUUAGCUUCUGAGCAUGACGGUCUGGGUUUAGAACACAUAAUUGAGUUCAACAAGCCAAAAGGUACAGAAUUGAGUGUGUUCCUGAACCACAAAAAGUAUGCGGGAGUGAUGCUGGAGGUAGCGCAGUUGGAAAUUUCAUUGGUUUGGCAGCUCCAGAACGCAAACGGAAGGCCGGUCGACCAACCAGCAGCAGAGACAAGCCUCCAUAUGAUGAUCUCGGUGCAAAGAGCAAAAAAAGUAAGUUUCUGGCACAUCUAGAUGCUGCUGUAGGAUGUGGUACAAGCAAACGAACAUGUUUCUGCAGUAUAUGUCGCGAACCAGGGCACAAGAGCACAACAUGUCCACAGAGGGUGAGCUCCCUGAAAAGAAAAGGAAAAAAAGCCAAAUGCUCAAUAUGCGGAGUGGGAGGGCAUCGCAAGAACACCUGCAACAAUCCAAAGAUUGUUUACAUGUUCCUCAGAAAGCUACACAUGAACGACCUGUGGAAAUGUGAUUAAUCUGGUGUAUCACUGAACUUCCACUGUUUUUCCCUUGUAUGAUUAUUGCUCACUACCUAGUGGUGUGAAAUAAAUUAUGUAUUGUCAGCUUAGAAGUUGUGACAAUGUUUCCUCUUGUACUCCCUCCGUUCCAAAAUAGAUGACUCAACUUUGUACUAAAGUGAGUACAAAGUUGAGUCAUCUAUUUCGGAACGGAUGGAGUAUAUGUCUAAAACCUUUGGCUUAGAUUAAUCUGGUGUAUCACUGAAUUUCCACUGUUUUUCCCUUGUAUGAUGAGUGCUCAGUACCCAGCUGUGUGAAAUAAAUUA
This is a long non-coding RNA of Triticum dicoccoides, 1638 nucleotides long. RefSeq lists it as uncharacterized. The record is from RefSeq and is a predicted model, not a curated record. NCBI's taxonomy places the organism in Eukaryota, Viridiplantae, Streptophyta, Magnoliopsida, Poales, Poaceae. The transcript has 4 exons.